This is a non-coding RNA of Erythranthe guttata (spotted monkey flower), 746 nucleotides long. The record is from RefSeq and is a predicted model, not a curated record. Lineage: Eukaryota; Viridiplantae; Streptophyta; Magnoliopsida; Lamiales; Phrymaceae.
GAGAUCAUGACUGAAUCAAAUGAUGCAGCAACACAUGGUUUGAGCUUCAGUAAAUUACCCAAGGUCUUGGAAGGCAAAAUCGGAAGCAGUUCGACAUGCCUUGACACGGCUUCUAGUCCUAAUGCUGUGGCCUCGAAAGAUUGUAAAUCUAACGAUCUAGACAAAAUUCUCGACCAGGGUUUCCAUAUAAAUGAAAGGGACGAGUUUCCCAGUUUUGAUCUUGGAUUUUGAAAAGAACCGGAGAUAACCCGUGUUGUAAUCUUCUAGAGACGAGAUUCUUCUCCAGGUUGUUCUCGUUUGAGCUCGCAGCCCUCCCAAACAAAUUUACUAGUAAGUUGUUUUGCAGUGCUCAAAUUCGUAAACGAUCAUACUUUUUUUAAUUCUCAUAUGUAUGACAGAAUGAGACUUAGAGUAUGUAGCAUGUAUGUAUGUAGAUUCAAGUUCUGAGUCCAGGCCCAUGGAACUUCGCUUGAAGUUCUUACUCGUUUCUUUGCAACAGUUAUAAAAAUGCCAUACAUAAAAUAACUUCUCAGUUGCGUCAUUUAGUUUUGGCCUCGGAGUUGGUUGCUUUUCUACGGUCAUGACUUUAAGUUUGAUUGGUAAUGUUAAUAUCGAACGAGUCAGAAUGAAUAAUAAGUUCGGAUUUUUUAAAUACUUGUGGCCAGAAAACGAAGCGUACUUCUUCAACCCAACGAUUAUAUUCAUAUACCUUUCAAUAGAAUAGAAAAAACAAAAUUGUAAAAGAA